This 67-nucleotide transfer RNA is filed under the name Scaphoideus nigrivalveus. Its description in RNAcentral is "tRNA-Leu". Lineage: Eukaryota; Metazoa; Arthropoda; Insecta; Hemiptera; Cicadellidae. The record is from RNAcentral.
AGUGAUUUGGCAGAUUAGUGUUUUAAAUUUAGAAUUUAAUAAAGUACUUAUUAUAGUACAUUCACUA